This is a non-coding RNA of Triticum aestivum (bread wheat), 135 nucleotides long. The record is from Rfam. Lineage: Eukaryota; Viridiplantae; Streptophyta; Magnoliopsida; Poales; Poaceae.
AUAGUACUUCCUCCGUCCCAAAAUUCUUGACUUAAAUUUAUCUAGAUACAAAUGUAUCUAAUACUAAGAUGUGACUAGAUACAUCCAUAUGUACACACAUUUAAGACAAGAAUUUUGGGACGGAGGGAGUACUAA